Molecule: long non-coding RNA, 215 nt
Organism: Etheostoma spectabile (orangethroat darter)
Lineage: Eukaryota; Metazoa; Chordata; Actinopteri; Perciformes; Percidae
Exons: 3
Source: RefSeq, a predicted model, not a curated record
UUACUGAAUUGGCCUGCUCAGAGGAAGAGGCGCUAAUGAUUCCAGAAAAGAGGAAGCCAAAGAAGAAGAACAACACAGACUUUGAAAUGGGUCUCUCAAUAGCCAUGAUGACCAAGAUUUUCAACAGGGAAAUGUGGAAAGCUGCCAUAUUCCCAGUCAUUUCUUUGCCAAAUCAUGUGCAGCAGCAGCACAGCCGAGGAAUUCUGCUUUCUUGA